This 460-nucleotide ribosomal RNA is filed under the name uncultured bacterium. RNAcentral's name for it is "partial 16S ribosomal RNA". It matches the Rfam family "Bacterial small subunit ribosomal RNA", at positions 338 to 795 of the family's 1533-position model. The record is from RNAcentral.
CCUACGGGUGGCAGCAGUGAGGAAUAUUGGUCAAUGGACGCAAGUCUGAACCAGCGAUGCCGCGUGCGGGAAUGAGGUGCUACGCAUUGUAAACUGCUUUUAUACGGGGGCAAUUACAGAUACUUGUAUCUGGAUGAAAGUACCGUACGAAUUAGGAUCGACUAACUCCGUGCCAGCAGCCGUGGUAAUACGGAGGAUCCGACCGUUAUCCGGAUUUAUUGGGUUUAAGGGUUGCGUAGGCGGUUAGGUAAGUUAGAGGUAAAAGCAGGAUGAUCAACAUCGAAACUGCAUCUGAUACUGUCUGACUAGAGUAUAGUUGCGGAAGGCGGAAUGUGUGGUGUAGCAGUGAAAUGCUUAGAUAUCACACAGAACACCGAUUGCGAAGGCAGCUUUCCAAGCUAUUACUGACGCUGAGGCACGAAGGCGUGGGGAGCGAAAGGGAUUAGAUACCCUGGUAGUC